Acinonyx jubatus (cheetah) is the source of this 4967-nucleotide long non-coding RNA. RefSeq lists it as uncharacterized. The record is from RefSeq and is a predicted model, not a curated record. The transcript has 4 exons. NCBI's taxonomy places the organism in Eukaryota, Metazoa, Chordata, Mammalia, Carnivora, Felidae.
CUAUUGAGCGGGCUGUGUCCGUGUGGCUGGUGGGACCUCAGGCAAAGCAGAUGACAAAAAUAUCUUACAGGAGGUGUUUUCUUAACGGAGACCAUGCAUCCAACACGGAAACUCCAGCCUGGUUUUCCACAGGUGCUCCGGGGGCGGGGGGCGCUGGUUCUCAUCUCCACAGCCUCUGGCUGUGCCCGUAUUGUGUCCGUAUCUGCCCCGUCUAUCUGGCCAGUGGGCUUGAGCUGAAGUAGGACAUCACUGAGUGAUGAGAAAACAUUUCAAAGACAUGAUUAGUCGAGGCACCCUGCAGGUGUCUGAAAAGUCCCGGUGGGAUCUGCAGGGCCCAGCUUAAAAGAGCUGGCACAGAGGGGACGUUGCUGAGCUACUGACCUUGACCUGCAAUAUGCAACAGCUGCAGCCUCUUGCUUCUGAAUGCACAAUUAACAGUUCAUUCCUGAGCACUUUCCUAUAGGGACUGAGAACCAAAUAAUCCCCCGAUGUAAGCCAUUUGACAUCCAAGUGCUUACACAACGCAACUGACAAAGAUUGUAUGUUGAAAUCAUUGCCAAGCAAUGUCUUUUUUUUUUUUUUCUUAGAGCGAGCGCACAAGCAGGGGAGAGGGGCAGAGAGAGAAUCCCAAGCAUGUUGUGUGGCACAGCACCUGAUUUGGGACUUGAUCCCGCGGCCCUGGGAUCAUGAUCUGAGCCAAAAUCAAGAGUCAGAUGCUCCACCGACUGAGCCACCCAGGCAUCCUAGCGACAUCUUUUUCUUUUUUUUUUUUAAAUACUCUAACGAACUCCCCUCCCCGCCCCGCCCCCGUCCCCAGACUCCUCUGUCCUGUCUCACGAAGCAACUCCAUAUACUUGGGAAUUUCCAGCAACUUGGAAGUGGGAAUUGCACGUCCUGACAGGUGGCAGUGACUGGAGCAGACACCCCAAGCCGGGUCCUUCUUGGGGAUCUUGUCCGAGCCCUCCCGAGAUGGAUUAGCCAGUGAGACUUUUGGCACCCACUUGAUUGCACCCUUUUCAGGCGAAGUGAGGGAUGGAGAAGUCUGCACGAUGAUGCUCCGCGACCUUCAGGACGCACGGUCAGAGCACGAACAGGAAGACACUGCACAACGCUCCGGAGGAUUGUGGUGUCGCUUGGAGAACGUCUGUGUGCGACCCCGAUGUCAAAGCAUCCUGCCAGACCAAGAGUGCCUGAGGAAUGUUACACAGAUCCCACCUCGGGGUGGAAGGGUGUCAUGACCCGUCAACCUGCCUUAUGCUCCUACCCCGUCAUCACAACGGUGAGAUCAUGACCUGAGCUGAAAUCAAGAGUCACCUGCUUAAACGACUGAGCCACCCAGGUGCCCCAAAGCAGCUAAUUUUAGGGAACACUAAUGUUAACCUACCUUUUGGAUAAGUAGGAAGUUACGACUUGAAGCCGGGCACCUGGGCUAAGCUCCCAGAGAAACCGGCACACUGGCCACCGGCCACCUCAGUGUUCGUGUUUCAAAGAGGUGGCUCCAAGGCCCCCAAGAGAGACAUUCCUGAGAAGCAAAACUGCUCUUCCGGCCUUCCGAGGUCUUUUUACAGACGCCUCCCUGUCAUGGAACAAAAGUUUAUUAACACACAAGUAAUGAGCGUCAGCUCAAUUAAUUUUCGUAAAGUGAACAUAUCCGUGGAACCACCAGCUAGAGCAAGAAAGAAGAUGUUAAUUACACUCCCGAAGCCCCUCACGUGACAUCAUCUGGUCACCAUCUGCCGAACUUCCCAAAGAAAAACUUCCUAACUUCUCAUGCCGUAGUCUCCAGCCUAAGAAUCCUAUAUGCAAGAAAUCCUAGAAGUUGUAGGCUUGUCUGGCUUCUUUUGCUCAACUUCCUGUGAGAGAGAUUCAUCUGUCUUUCCUUGUGGGUUAGUAGUUUGUUCAUUUAAAUUUUUUUCAAUGUUUAUUCAUGUAUUUUGAGAGAGAGAGAGAGAGAGAGAGAGCGCGCAUAUGCUCAAGUGAACUUGAGCCGGUGGGGGGUGGGCAGGACAGAGAGAGAGGGAGAGAAAGAAUCCCAAGCAGGCUAUACAAGCAGCCCAGGAACCCUGCGAUCUGAGAUGAAAUCAAGAGUUGGAUGCUCAACCCACUGAACCACCAUAAACAUUUUUUCUUUUUUUUUUUUUUUAAUUUAAAAAAAAUCUUUAUUUUUGAGAGACAGAGAGAGACAGAGUGUGAGCAGGGGAGGAACAGAGAGAGAGGUAAACACAGCAUCUGAAGCAGGCUCCAGGCUCCGAGCUGUCAGCACGGAGCCUGACACGGGGCUCGAACUCACAGACCACGAGAUCAUGACAUGAGCCGAAGUUGGACGUUUAACCGACUGAGCCACCCAGGCACCCCUUAACUUUGUUUCUUUUUAACAGACUUUACUUUUGAAGAGAGUUUUAGAUUUUCAGAAAAAUUGAGAAGAUAGAACACAGAGUUCCCAUAUACCUCCCAUUCAGCUUCCCCUGCUAUUAGCCUUUUGCAUUUGUUUUUGUGUAUUUGUAUUUUGUGUCUUUGUAUUUGUGUUGGUAUUUUGUGUUUUUGUGUAUUUGUUUGGUGCAUUUGCUGCAAUUAAUGAACCCAUACUGAUACACCAUUAACGUAAAUUCACAAUUUAUUUUGAUUUUCUUAGUCUUCACCAAAUGUUCUUUUUUUUUUUUUUUUUUUGUUCUCGGGUCCCACAUUGCAUUUAGUUGUCACAUGGCUUUAAGCCCUAGGCCCUUCAUGGCUGUGGGAGCUUCUCAGACAUUCCCUCUUGGGAUGCCCCUGAGAGUUUUGAGAAGGACUAGUCAGGUGCUCUGUGGGGUGCCCACCCACCCACUACUGGGAUUUGUCUGAUGUUUCUCUUGUGAUAUGAUGGGGAGGAAGACCACAGAGGUCAAGCGCUAUUUUCACCACAUCGUGGCAAGCGUACGUCCUGGUCAACAUGAUUUACGACUGUUGGUGGCCCCGUUCACCCGGCUGAGGCUGCGUUUGUCAUGUGUCUCCAGUGGAAAGUUAGUUUUUCUCCCUCCCUUUCUAUACUGUGCAGUUUGGGAGGAAGUCACUCACAGGAUGGGGAGUUUGACUCCCUCUCCUCGGAGGCACCGUAACUACAUGAAUUCUUUGGAAUCCUUCUGCGUGGGAGAUUGGUGUCUUCCUCAUUUAUCAAUUCAGUCCUUUAUUUACAUCAGUAUGGCCUUGUGGAUAUUUACUUGAUGAUUUUGCAGCUCAGAAGUUCAGCUUUGACCAUCGCGAACCCUCUCAGUUGGCUCCUGUGGUCUUUUGACCCCCCUUGAUGUUCUGUUUUGAGCAUUUCCUUACCUUCCGGGAAUACCAGGUCCUCCAGGCUCGGCUCAUACAUUUCCUGCCCCAGUUCUAGAAACAGCCAUUUCUCCAAAGAGCCCUGUUCCUUUGCCAGAGAAUAAUAUUAGGGUCUGGGUGCUGAGGUGUGCUUACUGUUACCCGGAUGUCCUCUCUUGUGGAGCCCUCCGAGGACAGAGCAGAAAGUAUGCAUGUUUAGACUACGCUCUGUACAUGUGCUGACCUACAAACACUCGCAUAAGUAACCAUCUCUACCUGUAUUAAGCUAACCAUGAGUUCAUACUGGCAUCGCCAACUCAAAUCCAUUACCACCUGGAUAAUUCUGGCUUUCCUCCCCUUGCUGAUCUAUGAACUCCAAGCCCAAUUCUGAGAAACCCACGUGUUGAUUUUAAAAAACCGGUUUCGGAACUUUCUCGAUCCCCCGUGUCUCCGAAUAUCGCCUCUGCUCCAUUCACUUGCUUCUGUAUUUCUAGGACUGCAGCUGCACUCUGUUGAUCCUUUUUCUUGCUCCUUGUUUUUUGUAUUUCCCAUAAUUUUUUCCUCUUGUGCGUCACUCUAUGUGUUUUCAACUGACUUUUCUAAUUCGUUAAUCUUUUCUUUGGCUGUGCCUAAUCUGCUAGUAAAUCCAGCCACUGAUGUGAUCCUUUUUAUAGACUCUAGCUUUCUUCUGAAUUUCUGUUUACUCGUGAAUUAACUUUGGAAAUUUAUGGGGUUUUUUCUCAAAAAAAAAAAAAAAGUAUAUUUCAUCCAAAUCUUCAAAUUGUAUUUCUUGAGGGGCUUUUCAUUUGGUCUGGCUAUUCUAUUUUCCUGUCUUCUUUUUUUUAAAUUUAUGUUCUUAGUUGAAAAUUUAAUUUAUUCUGUUUCCUUUAGUUUAUCUUACAGUUCUUUUGCUUUUUGGGUUAAAUUUGUUUACUAUCAUUGUUUCUUUUUAAAAAUGUAUUUAAUGCUAUAAAUUUACCUCUAAGAACCACUUUUGAACCCAGAGGAUUUCAUAUGUAAUAUUUCCUAUGUCCUUUGAGAUCUUUUUAUUUUUACAAUGUUUUCUGCUUUAACCAAUGUGUUAAGUAAACAUGAAUUAAUUUUUAGUUUCCAGAUAUAUAAAUGUUCAUUGACUGUAUAUUUAUCAUUAAUUUAUAGCUUUGAAAAAUUUUUUUAAACGUUUAUUCAUCUUUGAGAGACAGAGAGAGACAGAGCAUGAGCGGGGAAGGGGCAGAGACAGGAAGACACAGAAUCCGAAGCAGGCUCCAGGCUCCAAGCCAUCAGCACAGAGCCCGAUGCAGGGCUUGAACUCACAAACUGCAAGAUCAUGACCUGAGCCGAAGUCGGACACUGAACCGACUGAGCCACCCAGGCGCCGCAAUUUAUACCUUUUUUAAAAUCAAAAGUAAGGUGUAUUUUUCAAACCCUAUGUAUAAUCGUGCAUUAUUGAUCUCCCCCAUGAAUAUUAGGCAUGUACAUACAUCUAUUAAUGUUACAGAAGACAUACCAUGUAUAAUUGUGCAUUAUUAACGUGCACUUUUAGUAAAUGUGAAUUCUCUUUAUCUUUGAAAUUCUUAAAAUCUGUUUAUUUUGCUUUAUUCCUGAAUGGUAGUUAAUCUGGUUGUAGUAUUCUAAGCCCAAGUAAUUCAGUGGAGGAAGGUCAGUCUUUUCAACAAAUCUUACUG